RNAcentral lists this transfer-messenger RNA (390 nucleotides) under chicken gut metagenome. It matches the Rfam family "transfer-messenger RNA". Rfam says of the family: Bacterial tmRNA, also known as 10Sa RNA or SsrA, is named for its dual tRNA and mRNA-like properties. Its role is to liberate the mRNA from a stalled ribosome. The record is from RNAcentral.
GGGGACGUUUUGGAUUUGACGGGCGGAUUGGUAUAGACAGGCUGCGUGUCCCGGUGCUGUUCCGGGUUAUAAACAAGCAAACUAAAAUAAACGACAAUAACGUCAUUAAAGCUGAUUUCUCAAGAGCAGCUGCUCUUGCUGCGUAAGCGCAGUUCAGCCGUUAUAUUAGACCAGCUUGCCGUUUAAUAUAGCGCCAACAUGCAAGCUGCAGCUCCGUGAUGGAGUUAGCGGAGUCAAGUUAUAAUUCCACACUGCGUAUCAGUCAAAACUGCUUUGAUUAAAUUAUAGGAUUGGUUCGUGCCGUAAUUUAAUUGAGAUUAACAGACCUACACAUGUAGAUGCAGGUUUAUAUCCCGUUCCGGACGAGAGUUCGAAUCUCUCCGUCUCCAU